GAUGAACGCUAGCGGCAGGCUUAACACAUGCAAGUCGAGGGGUAUGCCGAUUUAUCGGCAGAGACCGGCGCACGGGUGCGUAACGCGUAUGCAAUCUACCUUUCACAGAGGGAUAGCCCAGAGAAAUUUGGAUUAAUACCUCAUAGUAUAGCAGUUUCGCAUGAAACCACUAUUAAAGUUCCAACGGUGAAAGAUGAGCAUGCGUCCCAUUAGCUAGAUGGUAAGGUAACGGCUUACCAUGGCUACGAUGGGUAGGGGUCCUGAGAGGGAGAUCCCCCCCACACUGGUACUGAGACACGGCCCAGACUCCUACGGGAGGCAGCAGUGGGGAAUAUUGGACAAUGGGCGAAAGCCUGAUCCAGCAAUGCCGCGUGAGUGAUGAAGGCCUUAGGGUNUAAAGCUCUUUUGCCCGGGAUGAUAAUGAC
RNAcentral lists this ribosomal RNA (425 nucleotides) under uncultured bacterium. Its description in RNAcentral is "bacterial SSU rRNA". It matches the Rfam family "Bacterial small subunit ribosomal RNA", at positions 28 to 455 of the family's 1533-position model. The record is from RNAcentral.